AAGGAUUUAGGUUAACAACAAACCAAAAGCCUUCAAAGCUUUAAAUAAAAGUGAAAAUCUUUUAAUCUUUA
Molecule: transfer RNA, 71 nt
Filed under: Fundulopanchax amieti
Lineage: Eukaryota; Metazoa; Chordata; Actinopteri; Cyprinodontiformes; Nothobranchiidae
Description: tRNA-Trp
Rfam family: tRNA
About the family: Transfer RNA (tRNA) molecules are approximately 80 nucleotides in length. Their secondary structure includes four short double-helical elements and three loops (D, anti-codon, and T loops).
Source: RNAcentral